Molecule: ribosomal RNA, 463 nt
Filed under: uncultured bacterium
Lineage: Bacteria
Description: partial 16S ribosomal RNA
Rfam family: Bacterial small subunit ribosomal RNA
Source: RNAcentral
GAUGAACGCUGACAGAAUGCUUAACACAUGCAAGUCUUUGGUGAAGCUGUGCUUGUACAGCCUAGCCAAGGCGGACGGGUGAGUAACGCGUAAGGAACUUGCCCUGCAGUCAGGGAUAACAGACGGAAACGACUGAUAAGACCUGGUAAAGUCAGGCGGACUCAUGUCCAGCCUGAUGAAAAGAGAUGCUGCAGGAGAGCCUUGCGUCCUAUUAGCUUGUUGGUGGGGUAACGGCCCACCAAGGCAAUGAUAGGUAGCCGGCCUGAGAGGGUGGACGGCCACAAGGAGACUGAGAGACGGCCCUUACUCCUACGGGAGGCAGCAGUGGGGAAUAUUGGACAAUGGCGGCAACCCUGAUCCAGCAAUUCUGUGUGCACGAUGAAGGUUUUCGGAUUGUAAAGUGCUUUCAGCAGGGAAGAAAAAAAUGACGGUACCUGCAGAAGAAGCGACGGCUAAAUACGUG